Molecule: ribosomal RNA, 253 nt
Filed under: uncultured bacterium
Lineage: Bacteria
Description: partial 16S ribosomal RNA
Rfam family: Bacterial small subunit ribosomal RNA
Source: RNAcentral
UACGUAGGGGGCUAGCGUUGUCCGGAAUCAUUGGGCGUAAAGCGCGCGUAGGUGGCCCGGUAAGUCCGCUCUGAAAGUCACAGGCUCAACCUGUGAAAGCGGGUGGAUACUGCCGGGCUAGAGUCCGGAAGAGGCGGGUGGAAUUCCUGGUGUAGCGGUGGAAUGCGCAGAUAUCAGGAGGAACACCAACGGCGAAGGCAGCUCGCUGGGACGGUACUGACACUGAGGCGCGAAAGCGUGGGGAGCGAACAGG